UACGUAGGGACCAAGCGUUGUUCGGAUUUACUGGGCGUAAAGGGCGCGUAGGCGGCUUGUCAAGUCACUUGUGAAAUCUCUGGGCUUAACCCAGAACGGCCAAGUGAAACUGACAUGCUAGAGUGUGGAAGGGGCAAUCGGAAUUCUUGGUGUAGCGGUGAAAUGCGUAGAUAUCAAGAGGAACACCUGAGGUGAAGACGGGUUGCUGGGCCAACACUGACGCUGAGGCGCGAAAGCCAGGGGAGCAAACGGG
RNAcentral lists this ribosomal RNA (253 nucleotides) under uncultured bacterium. RNAcentral describes it as "partial 16S ribosomal RNA". It matches the Rfam family "Bacterial small subunit ribosomal RNA", at positions 524 to 776 of the family's 1533-position model. The record is from RNAcentral.